GCCCAGGUGGCGGAAUUGGCAGACGCGCUACCUUGAGGUGGUAGUCCUGGAAACAGGGUGGAGGUUCAAGUCCUCUCCUGGGCA
This 84-nucleotide transfer RNA is filed under the name Phycisphaera sp. RNAcentral's name for it is "tRNA-Leu". It matches the Rfam family "tRNA". From Rfam's summary of the family: Transfer RNA (tRNA) molecules are approximately 80 nucleotides in length. Their secondary structure includes four short double-helical elements and three loops (D, anti-codon, and T loops). Further hydrogen bonds mediate the characteristic L-shaped molecular structure. tRNAs have two regions of fundamental functional importance: the anti-codon, which is responsible for specific mRNA codon recognition, and the 3' end, to which the tRNAs corresponding amino acid is attached (by aminoacyl-tRNA synthetases). tRNAs cope with the degeneracy of the genetic code in two manners: having more than one tRNA (with a specific anti-codon) for a particular amino acid; and 'wobble' base-pairing, i.e. permitting non-standard base-pairing at the 3rd anti-codon position. RNAcentral also lists the same sequence under 4 other names. The record is from RNAcentral. Lineage: Bacteria; Pseudomonadati; Planctomycetota; Phycisphaerae; Phycisphaerales; Phycisphaeraceae.